GGGGGUGCACCGGUUUCGACGGGGUCGUUGAUAUCGGGAAAGCGGGUGGUGGAUUCUCGUUGGCCACCUUAAAAAACGGGAAUAGCAAGUAAUUGCUGAUUCUGAAAUGCUUGUAGCAGCUUGAUCUAAGCUACCGUCUUCUUUGACCUUCUGCCAUCUUUGAAAGACGUAUGCCGGCAGACCUUACCCGGGAGAGGUUAAACGGGGAAACCUCAUUCGCAAAGCUUUGAGCGUCUGUUGUAUCCAUGAAGCUACCGGCGGGCAUACCUGACAGCGGGUUCUGUCCAAAGGGAAUCUUACAAACACUGUCUGCACCCGGAGAUGUCCCGGAGGAUAUGGUUUCGGACAGGAGUUCGAUUCUCCUCACCUCCACCA
RNAcentral lists this small RNA (375 nucleotides) under Saccharofermentanaceae. Its description in RNAcentral is "Saccharofermentans sp017527865 Standard tmRNA". It matches the Rfam family "transfer-messenger RNA". Rfam says of the family: Bacterial tmRNA, also known as 10Sa RNA or SsrA, is named for its dual tRNA and mRNA-like properties. Its role is to liberate the mRNA from a stalled ribosome. The record is from RNAcentral. Lineage: Bacteria; Bacillati; Bacillota; Clostridia; Saccharofermentanales. RNAcentral also lists the same sequence under 1 other name.